GUUGAUCAUGGCUCAGGAUGAACGCUAGCUACAGGCUUAACACAUGCAAGUCGAGGGGCAGCAGGGCAAUAGCUUGCUAUUGUGCUGGCGACCGGCGCACGGGUGAGUAACGCGUAUCCAACCUACCCCGCGGUCAGGGACAGCCCGGCGAAAGUCGGAUUAAUACCUGAUGCAGUCAGAAGAGGGCAUCUGAUUUUGACGAAAGAUUGAUCGCCUCGGGAUGGGGAUGCGUAGGAUUAGGCAGGCGGCGGGGUAACGGCCCACCGCGCCGACGAUCCUUAGGGGUUCUGAGAGGAAGGUCCCCCACACUGGUACUGAGACACGGACCAGACUCCUACGGGAGGCAGCAGUGAGGAAUAUUGGUCAAUGGGCGGUAGCCUGAACCAGCCAAGUAGCGUGCAGGACGACGGCCCUAUGGGUUGUAAACUGCUUUUAUGCGGGGAUAAAGUGCGGCACGUGUGCCGUUUUGUAGGUACCGCAUGAAUAAGGACCGGCUAAUUCCGUGCCAGCCGCCGC
Molecule: ribosomal RNA, 516 nt
Filed under: uncultured bacterium
Lineage: Bacteria
Description: bacterial SSU rRNA
Rfam family: Bacterial small subunit ribosomal RNA
Source: RNAcentral